Long non-coding RNA from Populus euphratica (Euphrates poplar), 510 nucleotides. RefSeq lists it as uncharacterized. The transcript is spliced from 2 exons. NCBI's taxonomy places the organism in Eukaryota, Viridiplantae, Streptophyta, Magnoliopsida, Malpighiales, Salicaceae. The record is from RefSeq and is a predicted model, not a curated record.
UAGUAAUUAAAAAAAAAAAAAAACAAAACCCUAGCUUUCCAUUUCUCUUCAACGCAUUAUAAAUACCGCAAUAAUAAACCUGACUCUCUAGCCGUUUGUGGCAAUUAGGGUUUAGUACAAAUCCCUCAUUGUUCUCUCCGCCGUCUCUUCCACUCUCUUUAGCUAGCUAUUGUACCUCGCCCUCCUCAGGUGAUGAUAAAAUAGACAGGGACAUCAGCUACUCCUUUUUUAGGGAGGAUGAUGACCAAGUCUAAAAUGGGAAUCUCUCUGAUGCAUUUUUCAUAGAUUAAAAGCUGUGAAUUUAGUGUUUCUUUUUUUGUGUAUAUAUAAUUGAAUUGGGUUUUGUGCAAAUGAUGAUAAAACAGACAGGGACAUCAGCUACUCCAAUUAAAAUUGGAGAAUGUUGACUAUGUCUAAAUGGGAAUCUCUCUGAUGCAAAAAUCAGUUUUUUGGCUAAUUAUUGUUUGAUUUUAGUGUUGGAGAAAUGCUAUAGACAGCGGUGGCUAUCUA